This 40857-nucleotide long non-coding RNA is filed under the name Cicer arietinum (chickpea). RNAcentral describes it as "long non-coding RNA (CARI_LNC000063)". Lineage: Eukaryota; Viridiplantae; Streptophyta; Magnoliopsida; Fabales; Fabaceae. The record is from RNAcentral.
CUUAUCAUAUUUUGUAACUACUCGUAAUACCUUGCUUUGCAUGGGUUACUUGUGAAUGAAAAGAAUUCUGUUUAACUCUAUUAGUUAUAUACUUGAAGUACACUUGGGGAUGUUGUGGGAAGUUGAAAGUGUAAUAUGGGAUCAAUUUGGGCAGGAAAUGGUGGUACUGUUGUCAUAUGUAAACAGAUUUAUAGAAUUCUAUAGACGAGGUCAUUAGGAUUUCAAAUAUCUUUGGAUAUUUUUUAAGUUAGAUUUUACACUUUUAGUUAAUUCUCUUUUUGUUGACUUUUCAUUGUCAAGUCAAUUUUAGUAUAUUUAUUUUAAAUUUACUAGCUUGUUAAAAGAAAACGAUACAUCAACAGAAAACACAUCUCAUAUUAAUACAACACGUGUAAUGGGUUUAUAUCCGAGCAUAUAGGUUUCUUUACGCUAAUCACAUGUGGUUGGGUGUGUGGCUUUUCUUAAAUGUGGAUAUGGGUGCGGAUAUUCUAGUAUUCACCAUAGACUCUACUCCUUGCAAUCCAUAAAAAUUAGUUACACUUAACAGAGUUCAGUCAUAUAUCUAAUUUUUUGUUUCUUGAAAUCAAUAUUGAUGAUCAGCUAAGCUUGCACUUUUUUAUGACAGAUAUACUUUUGUUUGCGAUCUGGUUAUUAUGAUGAAGCAAGAAACGUUUCCCUAUCUUCACGUGCUUCGCAUCAAUUUGCUCCAUUGGUACGUAGCAUAAUCACUUCUGUUUUGUACUAAUUUAUGGUGUAGUUUUAAUAAGUGACUGUUUUUGACAGCUCACAGAGUGGAUUAAUACUGGGGGAAUGGUACCGGAAGAGGUUGCAACUGCUGCAUCAGAAGAAUGUGAAAGAAUGUUGAGAACUGGUGAUCGGGUAGGCCGAACUGCGUAUGACAAGAAAAAGUUACUUCUGUAUGCCAUCAUAUCAGGUUCUAGAAGACAUAUUGAUCGUCUGCUUAGAGAUCAACCAACUCUUUUUAGUACAAUAGAGGAUUUCUUGUGGUUCAAAUUGUCAGCUGUGCGGGACUGCCCCACUGGAUCUUCGUCCAUUGUUCUAAGUGAUGGUCUGAUUCCAUACAGUUUGGAUGAUUUGCAAAGUUACCUGAAUAAAUUUGAACCAUCAUACUAUACAAAAAAUGGAAAAGAUCCUCUGGUAUAUCCAUAUGUCUUGCUUUUAAGCAUUCAAUUGCUUCCGGCUGUAUUAUACUUGUCUAAGGAAACAGGAGAUGAAGGAUAUAACAUUGAUGCUGCACACCUAUCAAUUCUACUAGCUGAUCAUGGGGUCCUUUCUGAAGGUGCUGGUACUGGGCAAAAGUUGGGAGUGAUGGAUGCUUAUGCCGAAGUGUCCACCAUUAUCAGGCAAUAUGGAUCUAUGUAUUUGCGUCUUGGUGAUCUCCAGAUGGCAUUAGAAUAUUAUGCACAAGCUGCUGCUGCAAUUGGUGGUGGGCAGUUGUCGUGGACUGGCAGAGGUAAUGUUGAUCAGCAAAGGCAGAGAAACUUGAUGCUGAAGCAGCUUCUAACUGAAUUAUUGUUAAGGGAUGGAGGCAUAUAUCUUUUACUUGGUGCAAGAGGUGCUGGAGAAGAAGGGGAACUGGGACGGUUUGUGGCUGAUCCAAAUGCAAGGCAACAGUUUUUGAUUGAAGCAGCAUGCCAGUGUCAGGAGGCUGGGAUGUAUGACAAAGUAAUUUCUUUCUUAUGUUAGUCUUUUAUUUUAGGGGAACAAUAGGGAAAGNNNNNNNNNNNNNNNNNNNNNNNNNNNNNNNNNNNNNNNNNNNNNNNNNNNNNNNNNNNNNNNNNNNNNNNNNNNNNNNNNNNNNNNNNNNNNNNNNNNNNNNNNNNNNNNNNNNNNNNNNNNNNNNNNNNNNNNNNNNNNNNNNNNNNNNNNNNNNNNNNNNNNNNNNNNNNNNNNNNNNNNNNNNNNNNNNNNNGGGAAAGAUAGAAAACUUUCAACUGUUUUUACCAAAACGUUACCUGGAUCACAAGCAUUGCCCUUCACACCCGAAAGAGGUUCUUGAGGCACUUAGAUAUGGGAAUUACUUCACUCAGAUUUUUAGACCUCUUUGUUUUGGCCUCUCAGACUUCCUUUUUCUGGUGAAGCUAAAUAUAUUUUUGACACAUAUAGGAAAUUUGUUCACUCUUACUUAUUUUCGAUGUCUAAUACUAUGAUUACAUUUUAUUAUUUUCACAUUUGUGUUUCUCGUGUAGAUUUUUCUUACGUAUAAAGUUAUGUUUACUUAUUUUCUCCUAUUUUAUGUUAGCUCCAUGUCCACCUUAUUACCAAUCACCAUUUGUGAGCCACUGUAUUUUCAUCCAACCUUGACGUUGCUUUUGCUGAUGCAAGAUUUUUUGGUUCAGUCUAUAGAAAUUCAGAAGAGAGUGGGGUCCUUCUCAAUGGCUCUGGAUACCAUCAAUAAGUGCCUCUCUGAAGCUAUCUGUUCCCUUUUCCGUGGAAGGUUAGACGGCGAGAGCCGGACUGCGGGCCUCAUCCAUUCUGGCAAUGAGAUUUUGGAGACAUAUACUUACUACCCUGAUGUCAGGUCAUAUUGAAAACCUUACCUUUUAUUUCCUUGCUCAUGCAUUUAUAUGCUUGGACUUUGCCAUAAUGGUGAUAUUCUUCAACUCUGCUUAAUAUUCUCAUAAAUGAAGCCUUUCAGGUUUAGAACUUAUUCUGUAGUGAUUUGACCCAGAAUAUGAUUUGAUUUGUAUAUUGAUGUUUUCCCUUAUCUUUACCAUGGAAUGAUCUUGGAGAUCAAACUCUGCUUGUGGGUACCAUGGAAGUUCAUUUUCGUCAUAUAUUUACUUCAUGUGGCCAAUGGCGUAAUUUACUUGCGAAAACAGGUGUCACAAGGAUGACUGGCAUGUGAUAUGAGAUAUACCCUUCAAAGUGAAUAACUGUGGGAAUUGCUUUCAACAAUGAAAAUUUAUUGUUUAUCAAUCUAUUAGGCAUAACCCUUACGAAAAAAUAAUCGAUGUAAUUCUUUUUUCAGUCUUCAGGAGAGAGAGCAUGUUUUUGAGCAGCAAACUGUAUUAAGACAACUUGAGUCAAUAUUAUCAAUUCACAAAUUGUCAAGACUAGGCAAUCAUGUUGAUGCAUUAAGGGAGGUUGCUAAACUUCCAUUUCUCCCUCUAGAUCCCCGAGGACCUGAUAUUGUUGUUGAUGUGUUUGAAAAUUUAUCUCCUCAUGUCCAAGCUUGUAUACCAGACCUCUUGAAGGUUGCUCUGACUUGUCUGGAUAAUGUGACAGAUUCUGAUGGAUCACUUCGUGCUUUGAGGGCUAAGGUAAUAUGCUGUGGAUCCCUUUGUUUGGUUAGUCUAUAUCCACGCUUUAGUUGCUUUUGUUGAAGUACCUAUAAUUUAUUAUAAUUGUUCUCAACAAGUGUUUAUUGAACUAAUUAGCGUAUGGCUUUCUGGUAUGGAAAGCUUUUUAGUCAAUCUGAGAAUAUGACCUCUAUCUUGAAGAUUUUCAUUGGGGUUUGAAUUUGAAUUAAAAUGUCUAUACAAAUCUAUGUUCAUGAUUUCAUGUGAUAACUACAUUUAAUACCUGCCUUAUGCCCUAAAUCCAAUAUAUUCAUUUAUCCACUUCUUGAUGGUUGCUCAAGACCUACAAUUUUAAGGAGUUUUUCCCUGUCAGUGUGAAGCCUUUUGAAUAUCAUCUUUCGUGGUUUUAAAAUAGUACUUUUGCUGAUUAAUAAGUAUCAAUAUGUGCUCUUUGCUUUUCAAUGGCUAAAUUUUGCCUGUUUUGCAGAUCGCCAAUUUUAUUGCAAAUAACGUAAAGAGAAAUUGGCCUCGGGAUUUGUAUGAAAGAGUUGCGCAGAGGUUGUGAAAAAUGUACGAUGGGAAUUGUUUGUUGCCUUUGAAACUUUAAAGGCAACAGUAUGUUUUUUGAAUGAAGGUCCCCAGUAAUGUAAAACUUGUAAAGUAGUGGCAAUGUCAAUGAUAUUUAUGGUGGACCUAUGUCCUGGAGAUAUAAUCGGAGAAACUACAAAUGUGAAAUAAAACUGGUUAUGAUUUUUCUCUUCAUCUUUUCAUAUGAUUUAGCUAAAUGGUUAUGUAAUAGGGUGUUUACAGGUUUGGUUAACAAGAAUAUUACUUUAAACUGCUCCCGUCCAUUCAAUACAUGCUAGAAGAUGCAAAAACUAAUAAGCAAUGAUAUUGGAAUACAAAAUUUGACAUAUAAUAGAACACAAACAAAUACCCUAUCAAAUAUAGUGUGGUUCACGUUUUUGUUUUUAAUAAAAUGUGAGUAUUUUAUUUGUAGCAAAUUUUAUGUUCCAAUAACAUUACAUAAUUCUUUUUCACUUCUUUUGCACAUUAUAUUGGUUGGAGUAAUCAUUUUUCCUGUCUUUAAAUCUUGGACUAGAAAUGGUAUUUUGAUUUCUUAGUUUCUUAUGUACAUGAAACACAUAGGCUGAAAUACAUUUUUUGUCCUUUAUAAUUUAUCUAAACUUAAACUUUGUCAAUUAUUUUUUUUAGCGUUAAUUAAUCCUUUAUCUUUGGUAAAUGGCUAACAUUAGUCCUUUUUCCAAAUAACCCUGACAUAAAUUAUCGUAAGUUGCAAAUAAAGUAUUCAACCCUGUUUCGCAUAGAGAAUAAAUAAUUUCUGAUACCAUUAUCUUUAUAAUUGAUAUUUUAAGAAGAAAAAUGUAUGUUUAUCUACUACUAAACACGAUCUAUACAUUGAAUUUGAGAAGUUUCUCCAAAUAGAACUAGAGAAUUUUCAAAAACUCUAGUCAUAUAUUUCGGUUUAAGAAAUUCCAAAAGUCAUAAUUAACAUUAGAUAACAGAAGGAUUAACAUUAAUCACUUAAAAAAAAAUUAAAUUGACUUAAAAAAGAUAACACACCAGAUUGAAAUUUAGAUAAAAGAUAAACCACUUACAAUGUAUUAUAUCCAAAUACUUAUUAGAAGCAACUAAUUUUUUCUUUUAAAAAAAAGAAGCAACUUUAUUUCGAGCCUAGACUCCAUAACCGACAACAUACAAUAAGCUUUGUAUGUAAUAAUAGUAUUUUGAAAAUGUAAUUAAACACUAAGCUUUGUAAAUACAAAAGUCGUGGCCAUAGCCAAAACCAUCAUUAGGAAUGUAAGCGUUGUAGUAAAAUGUGAUAGGAGGGUUCCUAUAGUCAUCUGCAAUGACACUCUCAGGUAUCCAACUAUCUGUUCCAUUCCUAUAUAGAAACAAUUUGCAUAUUUGGUCGAUACAAGGUCCCGCUAUCCAAAAUAUAGUUGUCAUGCACUGUUCGAACCUCCUAGAUUCAGGAUCACCCAGUUCCCAAACAACAAGCUGCAAUUAAAUUAAAUUAAAUUAAAUAUAUAUACAACCAAAAUUUUACUUUUAUUUAUAAACAAUACAUUAACAAUAGUACUUGAUUAAUUCUAGUCAUAGAAAAUUAAAUAUUGGGAUUGAGUACAUAGUUAAAAUGUAUAGUUAGGUAUAUUAUAUGGUUAAUUUAAUGUUUCGUAAUAGAGAAUGGAAUUACCGAAAAGCCAUUAGCGUCUCCAAAUGAAAUACCGACGAUGUCUCUUGUAUGUAUUGGAGAAAGGCAGCUUGUCUUUAUGGUGAUCAUGUAUUUGCAUGUUCCAUACGGUACAUUCACAUUCUGAAACAUGCAUAUUCAAAUCAUAUAUAUAGCUUUUUAUUAAAGAUGCAAUAAAUUAUGAAAUUUAUUUAUUAAAAAAAAAUUAGAUGAUUGGUUCUAGAGACUCAUCAAAGUCAUACCAGAUCAAAAGAUAAAAAAACAUUGACAAAUGUAUUUAUAAAUCACUCACCAAAAAACUCCCUUACAUUAACCGCGAAUAUUAAAGAUCAACUUGCUUAUCGAGUUGAAACAACAUUCGCAUAGUAUCAAAUUAAUAUUACUGCAUAUAAAACUUUCAUACGUAUGCUAUGUAACUACACUUCCAAAGGGGCACUAAUGAAAAAGCUACUACUAAACAACUUAAUUGAAUGAUAUACAUGAAAAAUUAUAAGUUGUUUUUAUAAAACAAAAUUUAUUUUAGACAAAAAUAAUAAAUACUACUUUAAUUAAUUUACACUAUUGUAAAAUUUUAAAUUUAAAUUCGAAUCGAUUCAACAUAACAAUAUUUUAUUAUUUGAACUAAGCCUUAAAAAUAUUUAUUUUCAUAAUGAGGAGUUUAUAAAAACAAAUUAUAGACAAGUUAUCAAUUUUUUCUUACGCUCUCCCAAAUAAUAUAUCACUUGUGCUUAUGCUAGAAAACAAUUUCAAAUAAUACAAACUCAUACCUAAAUUAAAAACUUAUGACAUAAACAUUUAUUAUUUAAGUGUUUAUAUAUAACUAAUUUAUGCUACAAAAUAUAAAGUAGAGAGUUUAAUAAUUUCAAAUUAGUCAAUAGAUACAAACUCAAACCUAAAUUAAAAACCUAUAACGUAAACAUAUUUAAGUGUUUAUAUAUAACUAAUUUAUGCUACAAAAUAUAAAGUAGAGAGUUUGCAGGUUUAAUUUUACCUAUUACAAACCUAACAACUUUUUUUUUGAAUGGAAGAUAACUAACUACUAAUUACUGACUUUUGUGUUUAAACAAACAAUAAUUCGAUCUAAACCACCAAUGUUGAGGCCGAGUGAAUUAAAUGUGUAUAUUCCGUUUUUGGCUUAAUCUUUAAAAGAAAAUAAAAAUAGUGGAGAGUAUAUAUAAAAUUUAAUUACUUGUGGUUGGACAUCAUAAAGCGUAGAAUAUUGGUUCGUUUGAUGUUUAAAACGAGUGAGUAAUGUUGGUGUUGUUUGUGAGAAAACAACAAUUAUGGAGAAUAUGAGGAUUAAGAUAAGAGUUUUCAUGAUUUUGUUAAUCUCUUUGUAUUGCAUCAAAUAGAAGAGAAGGAAGAACACUUAAUUGAUUUUAGAUAUUAUUGAGAUUAUAUUAUAGCAUUACAAAAGGCAGAGGCGAUAUUUAAAGACAUCAUGAAAUGCUAAACAAACACUAUGUUAUUUUUUUAAUAUUGUGUAAACUAUUUAAUUAGUGAAUGACUUUGUAGGGCACUCUCAAAUUUGUAGAGCACUCUCAAAUAGAUUUAUGAGAUUAUUAAUAUUUUGAAACAUCUAUGACUCUAAAAAAUUAUGCAUAUUAGUCUUUUUAAUAAUACAUAGUUAAAUAUAGAGACCAAAUUACAAAUUUGAUACUAAUGUUAUAGACUAAAUUGAUAGUAAAUUGUUAACGUAGAGCCUUAAUUAUUUGUAAGCAUUUAAAUGUAUUGACCAACUUGAUAGUCUAGUUGUACACGUUUUUACAUAAAUACUUGUAUGAGUAAUAUUUGACAAAAUUACAAAUAUUUUUAAAAUAUCUAUAAUCUCAUAGAUCUAUUUAAGAACAUCAUAAAAAGUGAGAGAUAAAUUUAAUAAUUUACCUACUUAAUAUUUUAUUACUCUCUUGAUACUAUGUUGAGUAAUUCAUUUUUAUUUUUAAAAGUCCAAAAAUAAAUUACUUUUUUCAAUUCAAUACUUAUUAUUAUUUUUUCUAGUUAAUAUUUUUCACUUUACAUUUAUACUAAUGAUAUAUCAAUAUUUAAUAAAAAAUAAUUCUACUUCUAUAAUAACACUAUUGUCGUCAUGAAUAUUAUUUUGAACAUUAUUCAAAUAUUUGUUUAAGAUGAAUCACUUUAACCUUAUACUUUCUUGUUGGAAAUGAUGAUGAUAUUAAUAAGAGAUUGUUGAAAAUGAUGAUGACAUUAAUGAGAACUAGUUGAUGUGAAUAAAAAAAAAAUAAAGAAGUCUCACAUAGGAAGGAUGACCCCAAGGUGUACACCAAUUUUGUAAAGAGCCGAUAAAACACGCAAAUAGUCCACCACACGAUAUAUUAUUUUUAGUAUAAAAAAAAUGUAACAAAAUUAUUUUUUAAUAAAUGUGUGCGUUUUUCACUCAUUUAUAUAUUUAACACGUGUAUACCCUCCAUCGAGUCAACAUUAUAUCUGAUCCAGUCAAAUAGAGGACUCUCCUCAGCCAGAAAAGCGCAUCAAAAGUUUUCCAAAAUCUAGACUUUUAUAUGCUUCUUCUUUUCUUUCUUGCUUUCUUUCUUCUUUUUUUAUUUCUUUCGAGUGAUCAUAGUACCAUAUUACGGGUAACAACCAUUGACUGUCAUAUUGAGAGCGUAAUUCUAAAACAAUUUUUUACCGUGCAGUGAAACUCCGAUACAUUGUACUUGAUCUAUUUUAUCAUGAGGAUUUCGUGGUUGAUAGUCUGCAAUAUCUUGCACAAUUUAAACAUUACUGUCAAACGGUUUAAAAAGAGCGACAUAACCCACGACUCAACAAAAUAACAUCUUCACUAACAUAAAUUGAUUUUGAAAUAGUUUUUGAAAUUAAAAAAUAGCACGCGCGCGCGCGCGCACACACACACACAUAUAUAUAUAUAUAUAUAUAUAUAUAUAUAUAUAAAAAGGAAUAAUUUAAUAAAUUAUUUUAGAAUACAAAAUAUUAAAUAAAAAAUCCGCAGAUAAAUACUCAAAUUUCUUAUCACAACCCCGUAAAGGUAUCUAUGAUGAAACUAAUAUACCUUUAAUUAUUUUCUAUUUUUAUUUAUGUUAAUAGUGCUAUGCGCAUUAUAUAUAUAUAUAUAUAUAUAUAUAUAUAAUGCAACACAAUAAAUCUGUUCAAUUUUUUGAAUGUCUUAGAUGAUUUCUCCAAUAGUUUAAUCUACUAAAUUUUUAAUUUAAUUAUGAAUAUUUUAACCAAAUUAUAUAAUAUACGAGUGAGAAUUAGAAUUGACUCAUUGCUCAACCGUUCAAUUUCCUGUUUCAGGUUGAUUUUAAUAUAUAUUAAUAUUAUUUUAAAUAUGUCUUUACACAUGUCAUGAAAAAUGAUUUUUUUUAAGGAAAAGAGUAGUUAAUAGAAGAAAAAAACAAAUUGUACUUAUUUGUAAACCUUUAUGGAUCCACGAAAGAACAAAAGGGUGUUUGUGGAAUGUAAUAAUUCACUAAUUCUUUUUGCUUUUCUAAAAGAUAAUCUACUAAUUGUUUUUUUCGACCUUUUCACUGUAAUUUUGUUUAUGUAAUGUACUACUGUGUACCUAUUUUGAUGCUUUUAUUUUUUUUAAUCAAUUUUUCACAUUUUUAUUUUAAAAUUAGAUAGUUUUUGUCUUUAUUCUAGAUAUUUGAACUAUAAAAUAAUUAUGACAUAUUUUAAAUGGUGUGACACACAAUCACGUGAUAUAAAAUCAUUUAAAUGCAUUAAUUAUUCACAUGUUAUUAAUUAAAUUAUGUUUAAUUGCAAUUUUAGUUUUUAUGUUAUUACCAAUUCACUGAAUUUAGCCAUUUAUUUUAAAAGUCGACAAUUUUAGUAUCACCCUCAAAUUUUUGAACUAAAAAAAUGAUGAGUUGACAUAUUUGUAAUGAUGUGACAUACAAUUAUAUGAUAUAAAAUCAUCCACAUGCAUUAAUUAUACAUAUGUCAUUAAUUAAAUUAAAAAUAUGAAAAAAUUUCGAAUUUGAAAUCUAAGUUUUUACGGUGCUUUAUUUCAAUUUCAUAGGUGUUAAUCAUUCUAUAUUAUUGUAUUAUUGUAUCAUAUGUCAUGUUAUUUAAAACAUUACACAUCAUGAUUUUUUAGUUAAAAAAUCAGAGAGAGACAAAAAUUGUUGAUUUUUAAAAUCGAAUGAUCAAUUUCAUAAAUCAGUAAAAUAGGGGGACUAAAACUGCGAUUAAGCCAUUAAAAAUAAAAUGAAUAGCUUAAGAAGUUGAAAUUGAAAUUUUUAGAGGAUUAUAUUGUAAUUUCAUAGAUGUUAGUCGUUUCACAUCAAUGUAUUAUGUGUCAUGUUAUUUAAAAUAUAUCAAAUUACAAUUUUUUAGUUAAAAAAUUAGAAGGACCAAAACUAUUAGAUUUUAAAAUAGAAAUACCAACUUUGUAUAUUGGUGAAAAUAAAAAGACUAAAACAAUAAUUAAACCUAAAUGUUAUUGAUAAUUACUAUGAAAAAUGGUGAAAUAUUUUGCUUUCUACAAAUUAAUGAGUGAAUAUAAUCAUCUUAAAUUUGUGAUUUUUUAUAGUAAGUAUUGAAAAUUUCAACUUAAAUGAUCCCAUGUAGUGUAUAAUUUUGUAUAAGUUACUUUCUUUGUCUCUUAACGAGGGUCAUUUAAAAUCUUUACAUACAUUUUAAUAAAUACAAUAAUUUAAAGAAAGAGAUAAUUUAUUUUUACCAAACUACCCAUCUUAACAAUUAAUAGGUAUUUCACUAUUAUCAAUGUAAAGUAUAAUAAUAUUUUAAAAGUUGUGUGUAUAGUAAUAAUUGAAGGGUAAUUUAGAAGAAAAAAAUUAAAAUUGCAUUGAAAAUUAUAAAUGACAUUGAUUUUAAAAUAAUAUUAUAUGAUAUAUAUAUAUAUAUAUAUAUAUAUAUAUAUAUAUAUAUAUAUAUAUAUAUAUAUAUGUAUUUGAGCCUUUUUUAUGUGGGCCAAUUGUACUAUUUUAUUUUUUUUAAACUGGGUUGUGGGUUGCCCGGUACCUAUACGGACUAACCAAAAUGAAUAACAAGUUUAUUCGUAUCGGGUGAAAAAGCCUUGAAAAGAUUCGGACUGAAAUUAUUAAACAAAAACUCUGUGUUUUAGCAGGCUGACCUAUUGAGACUAACUCAUUUUAAUAGCUCGAAGAACCAAACGUUAUGUGUGGAAUAUAAUAAUUCAUUAAUUCUUUUGCUUUGAUGAAAGAUCAUCGAUCAAUUGUUGAUUUGGCUCUUUCAUCGUAACUCUUUUUUUUAAUCUAUUGAGUUAUCUUAAAUUCAUUAAAUAAUACAAAUGUUAAUAAAUGCUGCCAACAUUUUUUUCUAUUUUAUUGUUUGUUUUGCAACUUGCAAAUAUUUUUUCCAUAAUUAUGAGUCUAAGUUUGAAUUUAACACGAUUAGCUCUAACCAAUUUUUUUUACCGUAACUAACUACAUGUAAAAGUUGUACUUGUAGUUGAUUUUAGUGGCCACUUACCAAGAGUUAUGUCCAUUAAAGUCUCAUUCUUUCACUAAAUACCUUAAAUACAAAGAGGAAGUAAGAAAAAGAAUAUUGAAAGGUUUAUGCCUCAUUUUAUCCGAAUAUUUUGUAUUGAAUGAAAAUCUGAUAAUAAUAACGAAGAAAGACAUUGACUGUCUUAUUGUUAGAAGAGAAGGCUCAAAUUGGGAUUUUAUUAGCAAGCUUGGAUUGUUCCAUUUAUUCCAAUUUCAGGCUUUUAGGGGAAUGUUAGAAGACAAAGGGUGAAACUUGUUAUCCAAGUUUGCAAGCUUAUUAGCCUUGACAGACCGAUAGUUUAUGAAGUUGGCUGAAGACUCAUAAGCAGACUGGCUAGGAGCUGGCUGAUAGGCUUAUGUGCACGAUGGCUGACAGAUUGGUUGAGAGCUGGCUAAAGACUUAUAGGCACAACAACCAAAAACUGAAUCACUAGAUCUUGUUCCAAUUAGCUUGUUUUCAACUAAAUCCUUCUAUAUUUGUAUUUUCUGUUCUAAGUUUGUAACUUCUUGUUAAUUAGUUUGUUAGGAAAUUGAACUAGUUUUUUGCUUGCUGGUCAAGCUAACAAUGUUGUAUAUAAAAUGGGUGUUAGCUCCCUUUCUCAAUCAAUUGAUUAUUUUUUUCAAUCAGUUCAUACAUUCUAAGAGUUUAUAUAUAGAGUAAAACUAGAAACAUACCACUCCAAACAUUCAACUUGAUAAUUCAUCUUUUAUCAUUAACUAUUUCUUAAUUUUUUACUUAAUAUGUAGAACACAAAACACUUAUAAGACAAAACCUUAAUUCAAGACUAGCCUCCAUACAUAUUAUGUUGCUUCUAUUUUCUAUGAAAUAGAAUAAGCUUAUCUUAGUUAAAAAAACAAAGAAAGAGUUGUAAUAAUAGUAUUUGGAGACUAGUCUUCAUAGCAAAAGUUUAGGCCAUAGCCAGCACCAUCAUCUGGAAAAAAAGUGGAGAAGUAAAUAGAGAUAGGAGUGUUCUUAUAGUCAUCUACGGUGACAUACUCCGGCAUCCAACCAUCUGAUCCACUCCUAAUUACGUACAAUCUGCACAGUUUGUUGAGACAACUUCCUAGUAACUUAAAUUUAGUUGUUGUGCACCGCUCGAACCUCUUAGAAUUACUAUUCAUUUUUGGAGUACGAAUCUGCAAUAAAAUAAAAUUAAAUAUAUGUAUUUAUAUAGUUCAACUAAAUUUUAUUUGUACUUCUAUAAACAAUACAUUAGUACUUGAUUAAUUCUAGUGAAAGAAAAUUAAAUAUUGUGAUUGAAUAUAUCAUAAAAAAUGUUACUUUUACCGGAAAAAAAUUGAAAAUAAUAAAUAAUGUGAUUUCUUUUCCAAAUCAAGAAACAAAGUCACAAAAUUUUAUAAUUGAGUUAAUAUUAUUUGUGCAACAAAUUAAAAUUUGAAGAGUAAUUGAGAAGCAUGUAUAGUUAGUUAUAUUAUAUGGUUAAUUAUUCUAGUAGAGAAAAGCAUUACCGGCACAAAGUGUUUAAAGUCUCCAAAUAAAACAGUGAUUUUGUCAUUUGUACGACGUGGAGAAUGACAGCUUGUCUUUAUGGUAACCAUAUAGUUGCAAUUCCGUUCAGCCACAUUCUAAAACAUUCAUAUAUAGACAAAUCUUAUAUAUAGUCUCUUAUUUAAUAUGUAAUAAAACAUGAAAUUAAUUUGAGUACAUAAAAUUUUCAUGUAUAAACUGUGUAGUGACUAUACUUUAAAAGGGCAUUGAUGAAAAUGGACCACCAUUUCGAACCUUAAAUUUUUGGCGGCAAAAAAUAAAAGAUACUAAUGAAAAGUUUACAUUAAACAAUUUAAUUAAACAAUAUAAAUACUUAUCAUAUAAGUGAUGUAUAUAAGUUAUUUUAUUAAAAAUAUAAAAUAAAGUUAAACUAAUUUAUAGAUGUCUCAUAACUUAUUUUCUUAUACUCUUCCAAAUAAUCUCACUCGCUUGUCCUAUUUUAUAAUCUCAAAUAAAUCAAUACAAACAAAUUUAUAACAUAUAUAAACAUUUGUCAUUUAAAUAUUUAUAUAUAUACAAUUUAUAUAAUAAAAGAUAAAAAUUAAGUCAAACUAUUUUUAAAUAAACUAUUUAGCAUAAUUUAUGGAAAUGCCAAAAUAUGUAGUAUAAUUUAUUGAGAGCUUAUAAAAAUAAUAAAAUAAAAAUAGCUUAUGGAAAUGCCAAAAUUGUUUUCAGAAGUUCUGCAAAAUAUUCUCAUAAGAUGUUAUUCUCCUACCAACAAAACUAACAACUACUCUCCAAAGUUGAGGCUGAGUGAAUUAAAAGGGUAUUUUUGUAUUAGGGUUAAUAUUUCAAAAAAUAUAAUAAAUAAAGUGGAGAGUAUAUAUAAAAUUUAAUUACUUGUGGCUGGACAUCGUCAAGGGCAGAAGAUUGGUUCAUUUGAGGUUUAAACCGAGUUAGCAAUGUUGGUGUUGCAUGCGAUAAAAUAACAAUUAUGGAGAAUGUGAGGAUUAAGGUAAAAGCUUUCAUGAUUUUGCUAACCUCUUUUCUUUUUUGCAUCAAGGAGAAGAGAAGGAAGAACUAAUUGAUUUUAGAUAUUGUUGAGUUAUAUUAUUGCAUUACAAGGGCCAGAUGCAAUAUUUAAAGACAUCAUAAAAUGCUAACCAAACACUAUGUUUUUAAUUCUUUUAAUAUUGUGUAAACCACCCAAUUAGUACAUAAUCUUGUAGAGCGCUCUAAUAUUUUUAUUAUCAAUAUUUCAAAAUAUCUAUGACUCGUUCAUACAUUAGUUAUAUUAUUCGUUAUGAUAAUAUAUGGUUUAAUAUAGGGACCAAAUUGUAUAUUCAAUACUAAUGUUAGAGACUAAAUUGAUGAUAAAUUAUUAAAUAUAGAAGCUUAAUUGUUUGUAAGCAUUUAAAUGUACACACCAAUUUGAUAGUUUAGUUGUACACGUUUGAUUAAAAGACUUAUGUAACUAAUUUUAGAUAAAUUCGUAUAUAUUUUUGAUAUAUUUAUAAUUUUAUAUAUCUAUUUGAAAGCAUCGUAUAAAGUGAGAGAUCAAUUUAAUGGUUUAGUUUUUUUAACAUUCUAUUUACUCUUUUUGUACUAAGUUGAGUAACUCAUUUUAAGCUUAGAGUUUCCAUAUAAAUAGAAUAUAUACAUUACAAUAAGUUUGUUCAAUUUUCUUUUGUAUGUUCUAGAUGGUUUAUUCAAUAGUUUAAUCUACUAAUUUUUUUACUUUAUUAUGAAUAUGACAACUAAAUUAAAAUAAAUUUUAUUUAUUCAAAUAUCUUUAUUAAUUACAGUAAGUUGAAAAUUUUGAUAAAUUAAAAUAUAUUAAUAAAAUAACGUAAUUAAUAAUAUAUUAAAUUAUAAAAUAAAUAAUUUAAAAAAUGUUAAAAAAAAAAUUAAAAUACGACAUAGAGAGUAAAAAACUUGCAUAGAAAAAUGGCAGAUAAUAACAUGUACUCAAAGAAGAUAAAAGUGAAUUCAUACAAAGGUGUUAUUAUUAUUAUGAUUUUAUUGGUUUGAAAAGGAAGCUGGAUGUUAAUAAUAAAAAAGAAAAUUAAAUUAAAAUAAUAAAAGGAAGCUGAAAGUUUUGGUUAGUUUGAGCGGUUUUUUAGGUGCUAAAUUGGUUUCAUAUUAUUUUGCUUUAAUAUAUUAAAGAUUAAUAAAAUGAAUAGUUUUAGAAAUUCAACUUAAAUGCUAGUCAUUUUACAUCAAUGCAUCAUAUAUCAUAUUAUUUAAAAUAUAUUAUUUUAUAAUUUGUUAGUUAAAAAAUUAAAAUGGUCAAAAUUAUCAAAUUUUAAUAUAUAAGAUUCUAACUUUGUAAAUCGAUGAGAUUCAAAUUGUAAGUAAAUUUAAAUGUUAUUAAUAAUUACUAUGAAAUGUGUUGAAAUAUUUGUUUUCUACAUAUUAAUUAAUGAAUAUAAUUAUCUUAAAUUUGUGAUUUUCUAAAGUAAGUAUUGAAAAUAUCAAAAUUUAAACCUAAAUCAUCUCAUGUAUUAACUUAAUUAAUAUCAUCUCAUGUAUGAAUAUAUUAAUGCUUAUAAAUAACUAUAGCAAAUCAAAUCAAAUACUUGUAUGUGCGUGUUUUUAACUUAAUUAAUAUCUUUCAAAUUUUAUAUUUUCAAUAAAAAAUAUGACCAUUAUAUUUUUGUAUACAACAAAUCAUUAUUAUAAUCAUAAACAUCAUAUCAGAUAAUCUAAUAUAUAAAUGUGUGUGGAUUGUUGUACAAAUAUAAAACUGUAAGAGAUAAUAACAAACAUAAACAAUUUAAAUGUUUUAUGUUAUAGUUUACUUGAUGUGUGUUUAUAAUUUAAAUUUUCGAAAAAAUCUGAAAGUACGAAAUUGUUUGAGGUUGUGAUACACCUUGAUAAAUAAUGUAGGUCAAGACUUUAAAUAGUAUAAAUACAUUUAUUUCACUUAUUGUCGGUAUUAGUAUUAGCUUAAAUGUGUCUUUACACAUGCCAUGAAAAGUGUUUUUUUUAGGAAAAAGUUUGUUAAUUGAAAAAGCCAAAUUGUAUGUCUUUAAAAAUUAACCUUAAUGGCUCCAUGGAAGAACAAAAGGGUGUAUGUGGAAUGUAAUAAUUCACUAAAUAUUUUGCUUUGCUGAAAGAUCAUUGAAUAUUUGUUGAUUUGGUCUUUUCGUUAUAACUUGUUUCCAUAAUGAAAAUUGAGUUAUCCUAAAUUCAAAAAAUAAGACAAAUACUAAUAAGUGCUCCCAACAAUUUGUUUUUAUUAUAUCGUUUGUUUUGUAACUUAGCAAAUAUUUUUUUUCUUAAUUAUGAGUCUCAAUUUGACUUUUAACACUGAUUAGCACUAACUAAUUUUGAAUUGUAUGAAAAAGUCAUAUGAAGUAGCAAUGUGGAUUUACAAAGGAGGGGAAUUUGAAUUGUAAAUGUUCCUAUUUAAAAUUUCUUGAAAAACUUAAGAUUUUAACUCAAGAAUGAUCUUGGUUAAGAAAACAGAAAACGGAGAACAUUCUUGGUUUUUAUCAAAAAACUGAGAACGUUCUUGGUUAAAUUAAAAUCAGAAAUUCAGUUUAUGUUUUUAACUUAAAUGGUUAAUCAGACUUAAUAAAUAAGGAGAUAAGAGUAAGAAUACCACACAUAGGUACAUCCUGAUUCACCCAACUUGAGUUAUGUCCGGUCUUUAAAACUGUGAGAUUCUCCACUAAAUGUUCAAAACAAAUAACCUUAUUGGUUUUACAGCACCUAGCUCAGAUCAACUUUGAUCUGUUACAAACUUAAUUCAUUUCUACCCAGAAAGAGAUUAAUCAGGUCACCUAUUGAUAUCAGCAUUGAUAGGAUUUCUUACAAUCUACCCAAACUAUAUUAAAUUCUUAUAAUUCGAGUUUUACAAUAAUGAUGAAAUUGUUUUUAACAUAAUCUGAGAUGUCUCAACUCUUGUUUGAGAUUCGAUUCUAUACAAAGAAUUCAAUAUAAUAAUAACAGAGUAUUGAAAUAUAAUUAUAACUAAUUCUUUUUUGAGAAGUGGGAAUUUCAAGUAUGUGAAUGUGAAUGAUUUAAAGAGAUUUGUUAUUACUUAAACUUCUGCGAUUUACCUAAGCAUUGGUCUUCUUUUUAUAAAUGUAUUAGAGCAAUUAAUAAUAGUCAAAAUAUAUAUUGAUAGUGCUUUGUCAAUUUUGAACAAAACCAAUAUAUAUGAAUAAAUAUAUUACAACCCUUGAAUACUUUUUGAAAUAUGUUAGAAUAGACUUAUUUCUUCAUUCUUGAUCAGAUUUCUCUUGUGUUUAAUGAUCCUUUUUGCUUCAGAUAUAUUUGUUGAUGUCAUUGCUUUGAUCUAGAGUUUUGAUUCUGUCAAAACAGCUUGGAGAAUGAUGAACUUUUGCAGAAUGUUAAUGAAUAUUCUAGAGAUUAAUAAUCAAUCUGGAGUUCUAGUCUUUGAACUUUCUGGAGAUUUGAUGAUCAAUCUAGAGGUUCAAUCUUGAUCAUUCUGGAUGUUUUCCUGAUUAAUCUGGAUGUCUUCUACAAUUCAAUAUUGUUUAACUUUCUUGAGAGUCAAGCUGGAGAACGUUUGAACUUGCUUGAUUCACGAAUUUUUUUCUUUGUGAUUCAAAUGGUUUCUUUGAUUAGAAUGGAUCCAUCUUGAUCCUUGUCAAGUAUUGAUAACAUAAGUGUAGUUUCCGGAGACAUAAUUUUUUUUGAACUAGUUAAUAUUGAUUGAUCUUGGGGUUGUGAUGGUCAGUCUUAAUUCUGAAGAACAUUCUCCGUUUUCACAUACUUUGUCUAAAAUGUUCUUCUUUCAGUUUUUAUUUUUUAUUGUUGAUUUCUUUGCUUUGCUAGAGUCACAUCUUUGAAUUAAUCCACUCAAAAGAACAAGUUAAAUUAAUAUAACAUUUAAAAUCAUAAUUAACAUUCUUAAUUAAUCUUUAUUUAUUUUCAUCAAAACUUAAAUUGAGAGUCAGUCGUAACAUCAUAUUUACAUUUGACUUUAAUGGUCGGUUACUGAGGGUUCUUCCAUUGAAGGUACAAUAAUGAGCCUUAUAUAAGACCAUUUGGUCUCUUACAUUUGAAAAAUAGUAAUUUAAUUCUAAAAUUAAAAAAUAUCAAUUAAUUUUGUCAUUUUUUUUAAUGUUAGGCUAAAAUUUUAAUAGUUUUAUGGUUUUUUUUAACUAACGAAAAACUAUUUAAUUAUUAUGUAUAACUUUUAUUAAUUUUAAUAUCUUUUUUUUAUCAAGAGUUUUCAUACUCUAUAGUUUGGAUGAUUGAUUUGCUAUUUAGAAUAUUUGUAGAUUAAAUUGAUUGACAUCUAAAUUUUUAAAGACUAAAAAUGACUAUUUGCUCUAUAAUAUAUUAAUGUUUCACCAAAAUUUGUUACAUUGAAUAACUAUAUAAAACACUUAUUAGAAGCAACCUUAUUUCGAGACUAACUUCCAUACAUAUUAUGUUGGUUUUAAUUUUUAUAAAAUACAAUAAGUUUAUCUUUAUUAUAAAAAAAAAAAAAAAAAAAGAAGAAGACAUAAAGAGUCCAUAUAAUAUUAUUUUAGGAAUGUAAUUAACACUAAUCUCUAUGACAAUAGUUGGGGCCAUAUCCAAAACCAUCAUCAGGAAUAAUAUAAUUAGGUUUGUAGUAAAAUGUGAUAGGAGGCUUCCUAUAGUCAUCUAUGGUCACAGACUCUACUAUCCACCUAUCAUCAUUAGGCCUUCGUACCCCAUUAUGGGGUCUACUUCUAUAUAUCAACACUUUGCAGAUGUUGUAUCCACAAGGUCCCUCUAAGUCCAAUACAUCUGUUUUGCACGGCUCCAACCUAGUUUUACUAUUAGGACCACCCACAUUCUCAACAUAAACCUGCAAUUAAAUUAAAACUUUAAAUAAAUUUUCAAUCUUUAUAGAAUUUUAAAAUUUUAAUUUUAAUAAACAAUACAUUAGUACUUGAUUAUUUCUAGUGAAAGAAAAUUAAAUAUUGUAAUUGCGUAUUAAACUGUUACUUUUAAAGGAAAAAAAAAAUUAAAAAGAAUAGAUAAUAUGAUUUGUUUUCCAAAACAAGAAACAAAGUCACAAAAUUUUAAAAUUGAGUUAAUAGUAUUUGUGCAAGAAAUUAAAUUUUGAAGAAUAAUAGAGAACCAUGUAUAUAGUUAGUUAUAUUAUACGGUAAAUUAUUUGUAGUAGAGAAAAACAUUACCGUCUCAUAGCGUGUAGCGUUUCCAAAUAAAAGAGUGAUUCUGUCAUUUGUAAUAAGUGGAGAAAGACAACUUGUCUUUAUAGCAACUCUGUAGUUGCAAUUCAAUUUAUCCAAAUUCUGAAACAUGCAUAUAUAUACAAAUCAUAUACAUAGCCUCUUAUUUAAUAUUUAAUAAACUUUCAUUUUUAAAAUGUGUAGUGACUACAAGGGCAUUGAUGAAACUAAAGCACAGUUUCCCAACCCUAAAUUUUUGGCAGCAAACAAAGAGGCCACUAAUCAAAAGCUAUAACUAAACAAUUCAAUUAAACGAUAUAAAUUCUUAUAUUUAAGUUAUACUUUUAUUAAAAAGAUAAAAUAAAACUAAUGUUAGGUAAAUUAUAAGUUGUUUUUAUAAAUUACACCGAGGAGUUUAUGAAAAAAUAAAAAAUAACUUAUAGACAUAUUAUAAUUAUUUUCUUACAUUCUCUCAAAUAAUAUCACACAUUGAUUCUAUGUAAUAAUAUAAAAUAGGCUAAAUUACAUCUGUGGUCCCUUAACUUAAUUUCAGGUAACGUUUUAGUCAUUUAUCUUUUUUUUUUCUUCCCGAUUUAGUCCUUUAUUCCUAACAAUAUUAAAUAAAGUAUGAAAAUAUGAGUUUAUUUGAAGAUUUGCGUUACGAAUUUGAUGAAAUUUGUAUUAUAUUGAAGAAUAUAAUUAAUUUUAUGAGUUUUGAUUGAAUUUUUUUUUUUGAAUUUUUGUAUAAAAAAGGAUAACAUUGUUGAAAUUUUAAAACAUAAAAUAUCAAAUUGUCACUUAAAAUUAAAAUAAAUGACCAAGUCGGGAAAAAAAAAAGAUAAAGGACUAAAAUGUUACUUGAAAUUAAGUUAAGGGACCACGAAUGUAAUUUAGCCUAUAAAAUAAGUCAAUAUAAACAAAUUUAUAUUGUGUGCAUAACUAACUUAAUUAAAAACGUAUAACAUGAUUGUUUAUCAUUUAAAUAUUUAUAUAUAAACAAUUUAUGUAAUAAAAGAUAAUAUAAAUUAAAUGUUUUUAAAUAAACAAUUUAAUAUAAGAUGUUUUCAUAUUCUAUUCUUGAUAACUUAUAAAAAUAGGCUAAAAUUAGUUUAUGAAAAAUGCAUAAGUUGUUUAUUCUCCCUCUAAUAAAACUAACAACCACUCCCAAGUUGAAGCUGAGUUAACUAAAAUGGUAUUUGAGUGUUAGUGUUAAUAUUUUCAAAAAAUAAAAUAGAGAAAAUAAUAUAAAAUUAAGUUACUUGUGGCUGGGUAGUGUCAAGCGCCGAAGAUCGGUUGAUUCGAGAUUCAAGCCAAGUGAACAAUGUUGGUGUUGCAUGAGACAAAAUAAAAAUUAGGGAGAAUGUGAGGAUUAAGGUAAGAACUUUCAUGAUUUUAUUAACCUCUUUUGUUUGCAUUAAAGAGAAGGGAUGGAGGAAUACCUAACUGAUUUUAGAUAUUGUUGAAUUUUGUAGAGUGCCCUAAUAGAUACAUGAGAUUAUCAAUAUUUUAAAAAAAUCUAUGACUCUAUAAAAAUAUUAUUUAUAUAGUCUUUUUAUAAUAUAUGGUAAACUAUAUGAGACAAAUUGUAAAUUCGAUACUAAUGUCGGACAUUAAAUUGAUUGUAAGUUGUUAACUAAAAUGGUAUUUGGGUGUUAGUGUUAAUAUUUUUAUAUUGGGAUGAUCAGUUAAACUUCAAGAAAAUUUUUCAAUACUCAAACAAAGCUUUUUCAAGUUCAAUAUAAGCAGAAAACCAAUUAUGCUAAGUCAAACACUUAAAUUACAUGAACUUAGUAUAAAAUACUAAGAUCAAGCUAAAUAUAAGCAGGAAAAUAAGUAUAAGCAGAAAAUCAAAUACAAUUCAAGCUAAAUAUGAAAAUGCUCAAUUCUAGCAGAUCAAACAAUAAAAUUACAUGAACUCAGUUCAGAUUAUAUGGCUUAUAUAAAACAAUUAAACACAUUAAGAUGUCAUUCUUCUUUUCCUGGUGGGAUUCACAUUUGUUUGUCCAUUAACGAUACAAAACGAUUGAUUAAUCCAAAUUCCCUCAUCAUGAUCAUCUCUAAGAUAUAAACCAUCAUCAAUUGAAUCAAUUUCAUGUGGUUGUGAGGGUUAUGACAACGUAUUAAAUUUGUUUUUAUUUAUUUAAAGUGAAUGAUUUUUAUUUAAAGCGCAAGCCUUUUACAACAUUUGUAUAAAAAACAUUCUAAUAGGUCAUUUAAUUAUAUGAAAGCGCAUGAAUUUUACAGCGCUUUCACAAAAAGCGCUUUAAAAGACAUGUAACAUAAGAUGAGAGCGCUACAUUUUACAGCGCUUGUGUUUAAAGCGCUCAAAAAGCGCUGUAAAAGCUAUGGGAGAGCGCUUCAAUCUACAUCACUUUUAAGUUACGGGAGAGCGCUUCAAUUUACAGCGCUUUUAAAAAAAGCGCUGUAAAAGGGUUGUAAACAUUAUGUGCAAGCGUUAUGUGACCCUACAACAACACUUGUCAAAAAAGCGUUGUUGUAUCCUUCAUUAUUUUUAAAAAAUUUUACAACAGCACUUGUAUUUAAUAAACGCCGUAAAAAAGCGCGCUAUAAUAUGUCUAUUUUUGGCAUAGUGACUCAUAUACAUAGCCUCUUAUUUAAUAUGUAAUCAAACAUGAAAUCCAUUUGAGUACAUAAAACUUUCAUGUAAAAAAUGUGUAGCAACUACACUUCAAAAGGGUAUUGAUGAAAUUGAAGCAUCAUUUUCCAACGUAAAUUUUUGCAGAAACAAAAAGGGCACUAACGAAAAACUACUAUUAAACAGAUUGUCCGUUUUGUUUAUAAUAAAUUAUAUCAAAGAGUUUAUAAAAAUAAAUUAAAAAUAUUUAUAAAAAUCAUAACUUUUUAUUUUCCACUCUCUCCAAUAAUAUCAUACGUGUUUAUCCUAUUUGAUAAUCUCAAAUAAUUUAAUAUAAACAAACUUAUGUUGCGCAGAUAACUAACUUAAAUAGAAACUUAUAAUAUAUAUAAACAUUUAUCAUUUAAGUGUUUAUAUAUAAAUAAUUUAUGUAAUAAAAAAUAAAAUUAAGUAAAAUUAUUUUAAAAUAAUCUAUUUAAUAUAAAUUAUUUUCAUAUUCUAUUCUUAAAAGGUUAUAAAAAUAAAAUAAAAUAAAAUCAGUUAAUGAAAAUACAAUAAAUUAUUUUAGAAGUUCCGCCAAAUACUCUGCAGAGAUGUUACUCUUCCACUAACUAAACUAACAACUACUCCAAAGUUGAGGUCGAGUGAAUUAAAUGAGUAUUUUUGUGUUAGGGUUAAUAUUUCAAAAAAUAUAUUAAAAUAAAGUGGCGAAUAUAUAUAAAAUUUAAUUACUUGUAGUUGAGCAUCGUCAAGCGCAGAAGAUUGCUUCAUUUGAGGUUUAAUCCGAGUUAGCAAUGUUGGUGUUGCAUGCGAUAAAACAAUUACGGAGAACGUGAGAAUUAAGGUAAGAGUUUUCAUAAUUUUGCUAACCUUUUUUCUUUUCAUCAAAGAGAAGAAGGAACACCUAAUUGAUUUUAGACAUUGUUGGGUUAUAUUAUAACGUUAUAAAGGCCAAAGACAAUAUUUAAACUAAGACACCAUGAAAUACUAACAAAACAAAAUACUUUACUUUUUUAUUUAAUUGUAAUUUUAAUCCCUCUAUUUUUACUAAUUUACGAAAUUGGUUCUCCUAUUUUUAAAUCGACAGUUUUGCACUCUUUUUAUGAUUUUUAACUAAAAAAUGAUGACGUGUGAUGUUUUAAAUAACGUGACAUAUGAUAACAUGUCUACCAUGUGUUUUUAUUGGCCAGCCAAAAUCAAUCAAGAAAUCUACAAUUAUAAAAAGGAAAAAAAAGUGCAUAUGGAUAUAUAUAUAUAUAUAUAUAUAUAUAUAUAUAUAUAUAUAUAUAUAUAUUACAAAUUAUGCAUUUUCUUAAUAACUUUAACCUUUGAAUUUUCAUAUAAAUAGAAUACAACUCAAUAAAUUUGUUAAAUUUUAUUUUGUAUAUUUAAGAUGGUUUAUCCAAUAGUUUAAUCUACUAAAUUUUUAAUUUUAUUAUGCAUAUUAUAACUAAAUUAUAUAAUUUCCGAGUUAGACUUAAAAUGGAUUCAUUGCUCAACCGUUCAAUUCCCUCUUUCAGUUUGAUUUUCAUAUAUAUUAGUAUUAUAUGUCAUGAAAAAUAACUUUCUUUAGGUAAAAAAGUAGUUAAUUGAAGAAAAACAAAUUGUACAUCUUUGUAAACCUUAAGGGAUCCAUGGAAGAACAAAAAGGUGUUUAAUAUAAUAAUUCACUAUUCUUUUGCUUUUCUGAAAGAUCAUCUAUUAUUUGUUGAUUUGGCCCUUUCAUUCAAACUUAUUUCGGUAAGGGGAACACACACAUUACAAUAAUUUAUAUUUUAAUAUGAUUGAUUUAUAUAUUCAAAAGCAAAUUUAACAUAAAUUUUAGGAUUAAUUGCAAUUUCAGUUAUUUUAUUUUUAUAAUUCAUAUAAUUGACACUCUUAUUUUAAAAAAUUUAAUAGUUUUUAUCCUUCUUCUAUAUAUUUGAAUUAAAAAAAAUGAAGAUAUGAUAUAUUUUAAAUAAUGUAUUAUAUAAUCUCAUGAUGUAAAAACAUCGAAAUAUAUUAAUUAUUCAUAUGUUAUUAAUUAAACUAAAUCGUUUACCUGAUGCAAUGGUAUAAUAAUAUAAGAUUAAUAUUAUUUUAUUUUAAGGAAUAAAUGUUUUUUGGAAAUAAAAUUUAAUAAUUAGUUAAAAUAAUUUUUUAAUAUUAAAUUUUAAAAUAUGUGAAAAAUACUACGUCAAAAAAUUAACACUUUUAUUUCAUAUAUGCAGUGAGAUAUGCAUGAUCAACGUAAUAUAAAUUGUUAUAAAUUUUAAAAGCUUAAGUUCGUGUUUUUCUAAUUUUUGUCCCUGUAAAUUUUAUUUUUCAAUUUAAAAUAUGUAAAUUCAAUUUAGUUUUAAAAUUAUCAUCGUUGUUAGUUGUUGUUAAAAAAAAAAUUUAUGUAGCAAAUGGAGGUGUGGCGUGGUAGUAUCUGACACGACAAUAUUUGAUGAGGAUAAAAUCAUAAAUUCCUGAAUUUAAAUAACCUAAAAUUUGAAAUCCCUUUUUUCCUUCUUCUCUGUGGUGCAACCUAAAAUUCCAACUAUGCUUCUUCUUGGUUCCACUAUGGCGUCAUUUUUGUCUGCAACAAAUACAACUAAUUUCAAUUGUCUGAGUGUGGGUGUAGGAAAGCAAUGCGUAUAUAAUACAUCUCUAACACAAAUGAAAAUCCUAAAUGACGAUUUUGGAGAUGUCCUCGUUGGAAUGUGAAUAAUUUUUCUUAAAUAUGCGAUUUUUAUGUUUAUACUUUGUAAUUAUAGUUUACAUUUAAUAAAUCCCUUAAUCUAGUUUACAUUUCCUAAUCUCUAAAUCUAGUUUCUGAUUUUGGAUAGAAGGACUAAAAUAUAAUAUUUUUAACUUAAUUUAUUAUAUUUUUUAAUCAAUUUAAUUACUUAAUUGUAUUUUUUAAUAAUUUAAUUUUUUUCAUUCAAUUAUUAAUUAUUUAAUUAAUAAUAAUCAUCCAUGAAACAACAGCAUCACUCUUUUGUUUGUCACAGAAACUUUUUUUUUUAACAACAAUUAGCAAUAGAGAUAAUUUUAAAAUUAAAUUGAACUAACAUGGUUUAAAUUUAAAACAAAAUUAUAUAGACAAAUAUCAGAAAGACACGAACUUGCAUCCACGUUGUAGUUGAAGUUGAAUUUAAUGGCCAUAUACCAAGAGUUAUGCCAAUUGAAGGUAUGGUAACAAGCAUUAGAUUAAAUCCAUUUGAAAAAUAGUACUUUAGUUCUUAAAUUAAAAAAUAUCCAUCAAUUUAAUCAUUUUUUCAAAUGUUAGACUACAAUUUUAAUACAUUUAUGCUUGCUUGAUGUAGUAAAAGACUAUUGAAGUUAGUAUGUAUAACUUUUAUUAGUUUUGAUAUUCUUUUUUUUUUUUCAUCAAGAGUUUUUAUAUUCUUUAAUUUAGAUGACUAAUUUUCUAUUUUGAAAAUUUAUGGAUUAAAGUGACUGACAUCUAAACUAUUAAGGACUAAAAAUGAAUGUUUACUCCAUAAUUUAUUAAUGUUUCACCAAAGCUUGUGUUAUUUUUUAAUUUAAAAAUAUUUUAAAUUAAAAUCAAUUUAUGCCACUAAAAAUAUUACUGAAUUGAGUCACGCAUUGAAUCGUUCUCUUUAAGACGUUUUGCGACACUGUCUAAAUUGUGCAAGACAGACUACAAAACACAAAAUCUCCAAGAUAAAACAGUUCAUAUACAUUGUAUCAGAGUUCUACUGCACCAUAGAAAACUGUUUUAGAAUUACACCAUCAAUAUGACAAUCAGAUGGCUGCCACUCGUAAUAUGAUAUUGUGACCACUCGAAAGAAAGAGAAGAAGUGAGAAAGAAAGGGGGAGAUUCAGAGAAAAGUCCCAUAUGCAGAGGGCUUUUUGUGUGCUUGUCCAACUAAGGAGAACCCUCUAUUUAUAGAGGAAGUCUGCAACUGAAUCAGAGAAAAACAAGUGACCCAUCAGUCCCGAUUCACAAAACGUGCGCUCCAAUCUUCCCAAGGUUUUUUACCACAGAAACAUGCGCUCCAAACUUAACUACGUUUUUAACCGAGCAAUAAUCAGAUGCGUGAGUCCAAAGACUAUGGUUUGAUCGGGCAAUAAACAGAUGCACGAAUUCAGGAAGAAAGAUUGGAUCAGAUGUUGAAUGUUGACUCGAUGAAGAGAAAUUACAUAAUUAACAUAUGAGAGAUAAAAAUGCAAACAUUCAUUUAAUAUUGAAUAAAUAAAUAAUUUAUUAAUUUUUCAUAUACAAAAAAAAUAGGCACAAUUGCUCCUACGGUCCCUUAACUUAAUUUCAGAUAACACUUCAAUUAUUUAUCUUUUUUUUUCCCCGAUUUGGUUCUUUAUUUAAUUUUAUUACAAAAAUUGGAAAAUAUGAAUUUAUUUGAAGAUAUAAGUUAUACAUUUGAUGAAAUUUGCAUUAUAUUGAAGAUGCUAAUUAAUUUUAUGAGUAAUUUGUUUGAAAAUUUUGAUGAAAUUUUAUAAAAAAGAUAAGGAUAACAUUGUUAACAUUUUAAAAUAUAAAAGAUCAAAUUGUUUUCUUAAAAUUAAAUAAAUGAUCAAAUCGAAAAAAAGAAAGAAAAAAAGAUAAAGGAACAAUUAUACCCUAAAAAAUAAUACAUCACUUAGCUCGGGCCAAGCUCGGUUGACUGGACGGCAGCGGAACACCUCAAGUUCCAUACUUUCACCUUAUAAGCACUACUAGUAUGUGUUAUCCUUCUUAUGUGGAACUUCUUUAUUUUUCAAUUCACACCAACACCUACUUUCAUUAAUGUCAUGAUUAUUUCCGACAACCAUCUAUUAAUAUUACAACAUUUCUAACAGUUUGUUAUAUUAAAUAUUUUCUAGUUCUAAUCAAUUUAAAUUUGCGCGCAUUAAUUGUGUACGAGACUAAUGUAACUUUAUUUUAUUGGGCUUCUACUAUAUAUUUGUAAAUUGACAUAUUUUUAUCCUAUCAAAUUAAUUGAUCAAUAGUUGAAUGAUAUAGCUUCACCAAUCGACAAUAAUGAUUUAGUUAACCUUUAAUAUACAAUAUAUGAAUAUUGAGGUAGAUGAGUUAGUGAUAAACUAACUCAAUUAUCGGAUAAAAUUUUGAUAAUACCAAUAUUAUAUACUCUUUUUCUUCUUCAUAGUACACUAUAAGUUGUCUUAUUUUAUUAAAAAAGCGGAAACCCUACAUCUAUCAAUGUUGAUAUUGGUUUUUAAUAGAAAUCUCUCAAAAAAAACGUCAACAAAUAAAUAUUUAGUACGAAGUUUUGUCAAGUUAAAAAAUAAUCUUUAAUACAUAUGUAAAUAUUUCAAAGAUGGAAUAAGUUUGACAUCCAAAUUUGAUAUCAUUUUCAUAAAGAAACUAUUAUGUCAAAACAUAAAACAGUUAUUUAGAGUGUAACUAGAUAGCCUCCAUACAAUAGAGUAAGCUUAUCUUUAUUAGCAAAGGUUGAGACCAUAGCCAACAUCACCAUCAGGAAUUUUAUAACGACCACCAAAGUUAAAUAUGGUGCUAGGGUAGUUCUUAUGGUCAUCUAUGAUGAUAUAGUCUACCAUCCAACCAUCUGAACCUUUCCUAAAUAUAUUCAAUUUGCAGAUUUUGUCCAAACAACCUCCUUCAAACCGUAUAAUUGUUGUCAUGCACUGGUCGAACGAUGUAGAAUCAGUAUCAGGACCAUUCAUUUUCGGAGAAAAUACCGGUUCGUGUUCAUCGUCUCCAAAUGAAAGAGUGAUUCUGUCUUUUGUAUGAGGUGGAGAAAGACAGCCUGUCCUUAUCACAGCUUUGUAAAAGCAAUGUUCAUUCACAUUCUGAAACAUGCAUGCACAUAUAUGUCAUUAUACUCUCUCAUGUUUAUUCUAUUUGAUAAUUUUAAAUAAAUCAAUACAAACAAUUAAAAACUUAUAAUAUUUUCUAAAACAAAUAAAUAAGUAUAUAAAAUUUAAUAACCUGUGGUUGAAGAACGUCAAGCGCAGAAAAUUGGUUCAUUUGAGGUUUAAGCCGAGCUAGCAAUGUUGGUGUUGCUUGCGAAAAAACAACAACUAUGGAGAAUGCGAUGAUUGAAGUAAGUGCUUUCAUGAUUUUGUUAAUAUAUUUUAUUUGCAUCAAAGAGAAGAGAAGAAGGAACACCUAAUUAAUUUUAGAUAUUAUAGCAUUACAUAUGCCAAGGGAAAUAUUUAAAGACAACGUGAAAUCCUAACGAAACUCUAUGGAUUUUUUUUAAUAUUGUGUGAACCACCCACGUUAUAACAUUGUCUUCGAAAUUAUCAAUAUUUCAAAACAUCUAUGACUCGGUCAAAUUAAAUGAUUUUCAGUUUUCAAUUCAAUAUUUAAUAUCAUUUUUUCAAUUCUACAAUCUAAUUUAUAUUAUUUAUAUCACUCUUAAGAGGUAAUCAAUAUUUUCACUUUAUAUUUAUACUAAUGAUAUACCAAUACUUAAAAUAAGUAGUUUAAAAAAAAUUAUGAUAUAUCUUUCAUUUUUUUCUAUAUAUAUUAUACUUUCUUAAUAUUAGUAAACUUCUAUUUCUAUAAUAAGAUAAUAUUUGUUAACAUUAAUAUUUUGAAAAUUAUUCAAGUAUUUGUUUACGAUGAAUAACUUUAACCUUAGAAUUUCCAUAUAACUAGAAUACAACCAAAUAUAUUUGUUCAAUUUUCUUUUGUAUGUUCAAGAUGGUUUAUCCAAUAGUUUUAUCUACUAAAAUUUUAAUUUAAUUAUGGAUAUUAUAACUAAUUUAUAUAAUUUCCAAGUUAGACUUAAAAUGGAUUCAUUGCUCAACUGGUCAAUUCCCUCUUUCAGUUUGAUUUUAAAAUAUAUUAGUAUUAGCUUUAAUAUGUCUUUAUAUAUAUCACGAAAAGUAAUUUUCUUUAGGUAAAAAAGUAGUUAAUAGAAGAAAAAACAAAUUGUACAUCUUUGUAAACCUUAAUGGAUCGAUGAAAGAACAAAACGGUGUGUAAUGUAAUAAUUCACUAUUCUUUUGCUUUUCUGAAAGAUUGUCUAUUAAUUUGGCCCUUUCAUUAUAACUUGUUUCGGUAACGGGUACACACACGUUACAAUAUUUUAUAUUUUAAUGUGAUUUAUCUAUAUAUUCAAAAGCAAUUUAUGAUAAAUGUUAAGGUUAAUAGCAGUUUUGGUAGCCAUAAUUUCACCAUUUUACAUAAUUGACUCUCGUAUUUUAAAACUCUACAAUUUUUAUCUCUAUUUUAUAUAUUUAAAUUAAAAAAUAAUGAUGUAAUAUAAUAUAAUAUAAAUAAUGUGUUAUAUAAUCUCAUAACAUAAAACAUCUAAAUGUUUUAAUUAUUAAUUAAACUGAAUUUUAUAGGUGUGAUGCACAAGAAGAAGAAUAGAAGACUACUAUUUAAUUUUUUAUUUUAAGGAAUAAAUGUCUUUUUUGAAAUAAAAUUUAAUAAUUAGUUGAAAUAAUUUUUUUAAUAUUAAAAUUUAAAAUAUAUUAAAAAUGCCACAUCAAAAGGUUUACAUUUAUCUUUUAUAUAUGCAAUGAGAUAUACAUGAUCCACAUAAUAUAAAUUAUUAUUAAUUUUUAAAAUAGUGGUUACUAAACAAAAUUACUAAAUUUAAAGUCAUUUAUUCCUCCAUUCUUUUAUCCUUUACUACUUAUAUUUCAUAUCAGAAUAAAUAUGAUUUUAAACCCUAUCAAAUCUAUAACUUUUAAGUUUUAAGUUUUGUAAUUAUAAAAAAAAUAAAAAUAAAAAUAAAAAUAAAAAUAAAUACAACUUUUAACUAUUACAAAAUUACAUCACAUACAAUUUUAGGUUUACAAAAUUAUUUUUUCUUUCCUUCGUUUACUUUUCUUAAUAUUUCCUUUGGUCUAGUAUACAAAAACAUGUUAAGGAGCUUUUUUUAGUCACUAUUGUUAUUAAAAUAAAAUUGUCACAUAUUUUAAGAUAUAUUAAUUGUUAAUUUUUUCAUACCACUGUUUAAUCUGAAAUAAAUAAAAAUGAACAUAUUCCAUAUAAGUGAUUUUCACCAUUUUCUUAGAGACUAAAUUGGAUUAUAUUGCCUUUUUUAUUAGUGUACUUAAUCUAUUUCAUUUUAAUUAUUUGAUUUGAGUGAUUUUAAAAAAAUAAUAAUAAUUAAUUUUAUCAAUUUUAAUGAUAAUUUAUUGAAUUGUUUAUGAGCAUGCUUUUAACUUAGUAUCUUUCUUAUAUUAGAUGUUGAAUAAAAAAUAUUACCACUAAUAUUCUUUUACAAAAUAAAUUAUUAUCAUAAUCAUAAACAUUAUAUAUUAUAUCAGAUAAUCUAAUAUAUAUAUAUAUAUAUAUAUAUAUAUAUAAAUGUGUUUCGAUUGUUGUACAAAUAUAAGAGGAGUAUUUAUAACUUCAAUUUUAUAAUGAUUUACUUAUUGUCAAUGUUCGAGAAAAUCUUAAAGUAUGAAAUUGCUUGAGGUUGUAAUUGAAAUGUAAUGUAGUUCACGACUUUAAAUAGUAUAAAUAAAUUGAUUUCACUUAUCGUAAAUAUUAGUAUUAGUUAAAUGUAUCUCUACACAUGCCAUGAAAAAUAGUUAUUUUUUAGGGAAAAAAGUAGUAAGUAGAAAGAAGAAAAAAAACAAAUUGUAAUGUUUUUCAUAUGUAAUGUUUGAUAUACCAUAUAGUCAAAUGAUAUAUAUAUUGUGAUAAAAUAAUAAAAUUGUCCUUGUAUUUUAUUAAAUUUUUUUCUUUUGAAAUAAUAAUUAUCAUUUUUUUAAAUAAACCAAAAACACUAAAAAAAAAUAUAAAUAAAUUAUGAAGUAAUUUUAUAUAAUUGAAAAAAAAAUUACAUUGCUAAAAAAAUUUAUAUUAUUAAAAUUUGCAAUACAUUAUAUCAAGUUAAAAUUGUUGACCAUGUACGUAACAAUAAAAUAUCAUAAAAAACAAUACAUUGUCUUACAUACAAAAUAAAUCAACAAAAGUAAAAUGUAUUAAAGAUAAAUAAGUAAAGUCAAGUACAUAAAUCGAACUAGUAGAUCAACGACUUAACAAAUGCAAGACGAUCAACAUUAUCACAAUCCUAAAAUAUGUGCAAGCAAUGUGACACAUAAUAUUUUGUCUGCUGCAGUAAAACACUCUUUGUUGUGUUAGCUACAUUUUCUUCAACUCAUUCAUAAUAUUUUGUGAAUCAUCAAACACAUUUUUACCAAUACAUAGACGAUUUGCAGUUUCACCCAAUUAUUAUAAACUUUUUUCAAGUCAAUUCCCAAAAGAAUUUCCUAAUUCAGAAAUACCAUGAGCAAUAUUAUAUGCUCAUAUGUUUCUUAUCUUUGAUUGAAUUUUCAUUUGGUCAUUAUUACCUCUAGAUUGUGAUUGACAAAGAGAUAGUGAUUGAGUAAUUUCUACUUAAAGCUCAUCACCAUUAAUUUGUUCUACCUUUACUUUAUCUAUCUCUUCGACAUUAUCACUAGGGGGAGCAUCUCCCUUACCAAUAGCACGAUCUUUUCCAAAAUUACAAACAAGCUUAUCAAAGACUAACAUACCUAUAAUGUUUUGCGUUUGGACGACUCUACACAAACAUAAAAAAUAUAACUUUUCAAAUAAUCAAAAUGAACUCAAUAGAAUAUACGAAGUUGCAAUAAAUUAAUGAACACUAACCUUCGCAUAUUCUUUCCAUACUAUCCACCUUAAUCAUUUUUUUCUCUUCAUCCCAACCGAAUUCACUGUGAUUUAACAUAUCAAAAGUUGUUCCAUAAAUUAACUUUGACCUCUUUAUUGCAGAUUCAAAGUGUGUUUUUACCUUAAUUCCACAUCCAAAAAAAAUUUCCUCCAAUUUUGCCUUGAGCACAGUUAAGGUAUUUGCUUUGAAUUGUUCAUUGUCACAUCUUAGACCAUUAUUUACAGCUUCAAUUAGUAUAUCAAGAAAUUACUUCAUUAUCUUUUUCAGACAAUUUUUACAAUCUCUCUUCCUCUUGUUACUUGAUAUGCGUGCCAAAUUUAGAUUUCAUUUCUAUUGUCAACCAAAUUAUAAACUAUAUAGUAUUUCAAUAAUUCUACAUCAAUAAAAUAAAAAAGCAAAUCACAUAAAAGAUUGUAAAUAUAUAAUGAACAAAAGUUUCAAAAUAUAAAACAAAUAAAAAAGUCAUUUAUUUCAAUAUGGAAGGUUCCAAGAUACUGAGCAAAUGUUCUCCUCUUAAUAUCUCUCUAUCCAUUAAUUGAUUUCUAAUUCUAUAAUUUCCAUAAAACCACGUUAAAGAAUGACUCACUAUAAAAAAAAUUGCUAAACAAAAUCCAACCAUCUUAAAAAAACAUUUGUUCGAACUAACUAGUGUUUAAACAAAUUUCAUGUUCUGAAUUGGAAAUUUGUCACCGGAUGAUGAAUACGGUACACAACAUAUUGAUUCCAUCUUUUAUUUCGAAAGCUAUUGGCAUAUGUAUCUUGUGUUACUUUUAUUAAAAGUUUCUAGUUUUUCUUUGAAUCUUAGUCCCUUUUUAUUCACCAACAACAACUAGAAACAUACAUACCAAUAUGCAAAGAAAAUAUCACAAAUAAAGUACCGACACGGUCACGAUCGAACCACACCAAUACAAACAUGCAACUUGAUAAUUCAACUCUAAGCUCCAUACAUAUUAUAUAUUAUGUUGCUUCUAAUUUUUAUGAAAUACAAUAAGAUUAUCUUUAUUUAAAAAAAAUAAAAAGAAAGAAAGAGUCCAUAUAAUAUUAUUUUAGGAAUGUAAUUAACACUAAUAUUUAGGACAAUAGUUGGGGCCAUAUCCCAAACCAUCAUCAGGAAUAAUAUAGUUCUCAUCGAAAUCAAAUCUGAUUGGAGGGUUCUUAUAGUCCUCUAUGUAGACAUACUCUACUAUCCAAGUAUCAUCAAACGUUGGUAACAAACUAUGAUGUCCACUCCUAAUUAUCAACAAUCUGCAGAUUUUGUCGCGACAUGGUCCCUCUAAGUCCAAUUGAACUGUCAUGCACUGCCCCACCCUCUCAUCCUUAGGACCACCCAUAUUCUCAAUGUAAAUCUGCAAUUAAAUUAAAAUUUUAAAUAAAUUUUCGGUUUUUAUAAAUUUUUAAAAUUUUUAAUUUUACUCAUGAUAAAAAAUUAUAUUUUUUAAUUUAUAUAUAAUUAUUUUGCAAGUUGUUUUAAUUAUUGUUGAAAUAAAAUAUCAUUAAACUUUUAAAUUUUUGAAUAUCUUUUACAGUCAUAUUUUAAAUAUUAUUAAAAAUUUAUCUGCACAAAUUUACAAUUUUUUAACAUGGAAUAAAUUAAAUAUUAACUUUUAAAUGUCACAUGUUCAAAUUUAAAGUAUAUAAAAUAUAGACCUAUAAAUCAACUUUUGAGUUUGUUUUUUGUGUAUAAAUAUUUUAUAUUAUAAAUAUUUAUGCAAAAUAAUCAUUCAAAAAUAUACGUUGAUGUUUCAAUAAUGAUUAAAAUGGCUUGCAUUGGACUAAAAUAUGUGAUUUUUUUUUACAAUGAAUAAAAAUAAAAUUUUAAAAUUUAUAGAGUAGAAAAACUUAUUUAAUCCUAAAUUAAAUAUAUAUGUAUAGAUAUACUUCGACCAAAAUUUUAUUUGAGUUUUUCAAACAAUACAUUAGUACUUGAUUAAUUCUAGUGAAAGAAAAUUAAAUAUUGUGAUUAGGAAAUAAAAUGUAACUUUUACAGGAAAAAAUUAAAAAGAAUACAUAAUGUGAUUUGUUUUGCAAAACAAGAAACAAAGUCACAAAAUUUUUAAAUUGAGUUAAUAGUAUUUGUGCAAGAAAUUAAAUUUUGAAGAGGAAUUGAGAAACAUGUAUAGUUACUAGUUAUAUUAUAUGGUUAAUUAAUUAUUUGUAGUAGAGAAAAACAUUACCAAUCCAUUGCGUGAAGCGUCUCCAAAUGAAAGAGUGAUUAUGUCAUUUGUAUGAACUGGAGAGCGACAACUUGUUUUUACGGUAACCUUGUAUUUGCAAUCCCAUUUAUCAAAAUUCUGAAACAUGCAUAUAUACAAAUCAUAUACAUAGCCUUUUAUUUUUAAGAUGCAAUAAAACAUGAAAUUAAUUUGAGUAAAUAAAACUUUCAUAUAUAAAAUGUGUAUUGACCACAAGGGCAUUAAUGAAAACUAAAGCACAAUUUCCCAACCCUAAAUUUUUGGCAGCAAACAAAUUAAAAAGGCACUAAUCAAAAACUACUACUAAACAAUUUAAUUAAACGAUAUAAAUCCUUACAUAUAAGUUAUAUCCUUAUUAAAAAGAUAAAAUAAAAUUAAUUUUAAAUAAAGUAUAAGUUAUUUUUAUAAAUUACGCCGGAGAGUUUAUGAAAAAAAUUAAAAAUAACUUAUAGACACGUUAUAAACUAUUUUCUUACACUCUCUCAAAUAAUAUCACAUGCAUUUAUGCUAUUUAAUAAUAUCAAAUAAGUCAAUACAAACAAAUUUAUAUUGUGUGCAUAACUAAAUUAAAAACUUAAAACAUAAAUGUUUAUUAUUUAAAUAUUUAUAUAUAAGCAAUUUAUGUAACAAAAGAUAACGUUAAUAUUUUCGAAAAAAUAAAAUAAAAUUUAGUUACUUGUAACUGGGUAACGUCAAGUGCCGAAGAUUGAUUUAUUUGAGAUUCAAACCGAGUGAGCAAUGUUGGUGUUGCAUGAGACAAAACAACAAUUGUGGAGAAUGUGAGGAUUAAGAUAAGAACUUUCAUGAUUUUAUUAACCUCUUUUCUUUGCAUUAAAGAGAAGAGAUGGAGGAAUACCUAAUUGAUUUUAGAUAUUGUUGGAUUAUAUACUAUAGCAUUACAAAUGCCUGAAGCUAUAUUUAAUGACAACAUGAAAUACCAACAUUACACUAUAUAUAUAUUUUAAUAUUGUGCAAACCACCCAAUUAUUGCAUGAUUUUGUAGAGUGCUCUAAUAGAUACAUGAGAUUAUAAUAUUUCAAAACAUCUAUGACUCUAUAAAAACAUUUUUUAUAUUAAUCUUUUUGAUAAUAUGUGGCAAACUAUAGAGGUCAAAUAGUAAAUUCGAUUCUAAUGUCAUACACACUAAAUUGAUUAUAAGUUAUUAAACAUAGAGACUUAAUUAUUUGUAAGUAUUUAAAAAUUUUAACUCAUACAAAAUUAUAUAAUAUAUAGUUUUAGUCCAUACAAAAUUAUAUAAUAUAUAGUUUUAGUCCAUACAAAAUUAAUCUAUCUUUAUUUUAUUUACUCUUUUUUUUUGUUCUCACAUGUAAGAACUUGUAAAGAUCUUUUUUAGUCACUAUUAAUAUAAAAAAAAAAGUCAUAUAUUUUAGAUUAAUUGUUAAUUUUUUCAUACUACUGUUUAAUGUUAAAUAAAUAAAAAUUAGCAUUUUUCAUAUAGGUGAUUUUCACCAUUCUCCUAGGGUACAUUAGCACUUUUAUAAAUCGUGAAAGGCUAAGUUGGUGUGAGGGACUACAUGGUCCCCUUAUAUUUUUGUUAAAUGUUGCAUCCUCAAGUUAAAUGAAAUCGUGAAUGUCUCAAUAAUCCAUAUCAUUGGUUCACAUGCAAUUUAAUGUUAGAUAACAAUUUUAUAUUAAAUUAUUCUGAUUUAUUUUUUUUAAAGGAUAAAUAAUUGUAUUUUUUUUUAUUAAAAACUAAUCUAUCAUCCAUGUUUUUUUUUUAAAGGAUCAGAAUGUUAAUCUUUUCACAUUAAUGUAUUAUAUGUAAUAUUAUUUAAAAAAUUAAAAUGACAAAAAUUAUCGAAUUAAAGUCUUUUCACAUGAAUGGAUUAUAUGUAAUAGUCAUUUCACACUAUUUAAAGUCUUGACGUAUAUUAAUGUCAUUUGUUAAUUAAAAAAUCAAAAUAAUUAAAAUUAUUGAAUUUUAAAAUAUAAAAUCAAACUUUGUAAAUUAGAAAAAAAAAUGAUGAUAUUAAAAUUCUAAGUAAAUCUAAAUAUUUUUAGUAAUUACUAUGAAAAUAUUGAAAUGUUUGUUUUCUACACAUUAAUUAACGAAUAUAAUUAUCUUAAAUGUUUUAUUUUUUAUAAUAUGUAUUGAAAAUAUCAAAAUUUAAACCUAAAUUAUUCCAUGUAGUAUAUAUUUUUAAAUAAAUUAAUAUAUAUCUGCAUAUAGUCACUUAAAUGCUUAUAAAUAACAAUACCAAAUCCAAUAUUUGAACGUGUUUAUGAUAAUCUAUUGAAUUGUUUAUGUGCGUGUUUUUCACUUAACAUCUUUCUGAUUUUAUAUUUUCAAUAAAAAAUAUUACCAUUAUAUUUUUGUUGGCAACAAAUUAUUGUUAUAAUCAUAAACAUCAUAUAAAUAAUCUAAUAUAUAAAUGUAUGUAUGAAAUGUUAUACAAAUAUAAACUAUAAGAGACAAUAAAAAACAAAAACAAUUUAAAUGUUUAUGUUAAAAUAUACUUGAUGUGUGUUUCUAAUUUAAUGUUCGAAAAAAUAUGAAAGAAUGAAAUUGAUUGAGGUUGUGACACACUUUGAUAAAUAAUGUACGUCAAGACUUUAAAUAGUAUAAAUACAUUUAUUUCACUUAUUGUAAUUAUUAGUAUCAGCUUAAAUGUGUCUUUACACAUGCCAUGAAAAGUGCUUUUUUUUAGGAAAAAAGUAGUUAACAGGAAAACACUAAAUUUUAUGUCUUUAAAAAGUAACCUUAAUGGCUCGAUGGAAGAAAAAAAGGGUGUAUGGAAUGUAAUGAUUCACUAAUUCUUUUGCUUUGCUGAAAGAUCAUUGAAUAUUUGUUGAUUUGGCCUUUUCAUUAUAACUUUUUUCCAUAAUGCAUUGAGUUAUCCUAAAUUCAAAAAAUAAGACAAAUAAGUGCUCCCAACAAUUUGUUUCUAAUAUAUCCUUUGUUUUGUAACUUGCAAAUAUUUUUUCUUAAUUAUGAGUCUAAAUUUGACUUUAAUAUUGAUUAGCACUAACUAAUUUUGUUGCAGUAAUUAACUAUAUGAAAAAGUCAUACUUACAUUUGACUUUAAUGACUGUUUACUAAGGGUUAUUCCAUUGAAGGUAUGGUAAUGAGCCUUAUAUAAGGCCAUUUGGUUUCCUACAUUUGAAAAAUAGUAAUUUAAUUUUUAAAUUAAAAAAUAUUGAUCAAUUUAGCCAUUUUUUUAAAUGUUAGACUAAAAUUUUAAUAGUUUUAUGAUUUUUUUUAUGUAACAAAAAACUAUUUAAAUAUUAUUAUGUUCAGUCCAAAAAAAUAGAGUUCUUAGCCUGUUCUAUAGUUGCAACUUUGUUUGAUCUUCUACAUCAGUCAAUUCAUUUUCAUUACCAAUUGAGAUGCAAUUUAUCUCCUAUGUGUCGGGUUCGAUUGUCGCGAAAGACAAGAACUCGCUAUUUUCAUGAGGUGGAAGGGGGAGGGGAGAGAAGAUUGUGAUAAAUAGUGUCUAUAGCAGUAACAAUUGUCCUAUUACAAACCAAGAUAAUUGAAAUCGAGAUUUGAUGAAACAUGACAAAUAGAAUUCACUAAGCGAGCAAUCUUAUGGUUAAGAGAGUUCAAGGUAGUGAAUUUGCUAAAUUUUGCAAAGUUAAUAUUGCUAAGAAAAUAGUAAUCUCACUGGGCAAAAUUAAAGGCGGUUUUACGGCUGGACUAUAAUUCACCGUGAAACAUACGCAUUCGCAAAACAAAUUAUAUGUUUGCUGAGCGAAAUGUCACUUAACUAAAUCUCUCUUUGUUGAAGUGCUGAGCAAAAUGUCACUUAACUAAAUCUCUCUUUGUUGAAGUUAGAUGUAAUCAAUCAUUUAUCUUUUGUAUCUCUUUUGAUUUAUAAUUAUAUAUUUUCAAUCUACUAGCUCGAUUCAUGUCCUAUAUUAGAAAUUUGUCACCGGGUGAUGAAUAUGCUCUUUUAUUUUGAAUGCCUUAUUGGCAUAUGUAUCUUGUGUUACUUUUAUAAGAAGUUUUAGUUUUUCUUUGAAUCUUAGUCCCUUUUUAUUCUCCCAAAACAACUAGAAACAUACCUACCAAUACGCAAAGAAAAUCUCACUAUUACAAGUACCACGGUCACGAUCGAAUCACACCAAUACAAACGUACAACUUGAUAGUUCAACUUUUAUCAUUAAAUAUUUAUUAGUUACUUAGGUAGUAUAUAAAACCCUUAUUAGAAGCAACCUUAUUUGAGACUAACCUAACCUCUAUAAAUAUUAUGUUGAUUCUAAUUUUUAUGAAAUACGAUAAGCUUAUAUUUAUUAUAAAAGAAAGAAAGAGUCCAUAUAAUAUUAGUUUAUGAGUUUAUACAAUAUAAUAAAACAAACAUGAUAUUUUGGCAAGUUUGAUAUAUGUCAGCUAAAUAAAAUGUUAUGCAAAUAUAAAGUUUCUAUUAAUAGAAAUAACUGUGCAGAUUUUUUUAUAAAAAUAAAAAUAAAACUUCCAUUAUAUCACAAUUUGACAUGAUAUUUCCGUUGAGACUUUAGUGGCCAAUUAAAAAAUAAAAAGAAUGAAUUAAAAAUAAAAUAUAACGAAUCACACCACGGCUUGACAAUUAUUUAAAAGUCAUGGGUUUUUAAACACUACUUUAACAAUCACUGCUUCAAAUUAAUUUAAUUACAAAUUUUAUUUUAUUUUACGAAUUCUUUUAGUGUCUUCAUUCUUAAUUAUGUGUUGUUAACGGUCUCUCCUCAAUAAUCUACUAUUUUCGACGCCUCCCUUAUAAAUGUCAUUCAUAUUAUCUCAUCUAUAUACAAUCCCCUUUUAAUUUUCCUUUAACAAAGAUUCGUUAUUUGUUUUUGUGUUUAUCUUUCUCCGAUGUUUGAAAAAAAAAAUCAGAUUUUGUUGCUUCAAUUUCUCCAAAAAAAAGUUUUCGUGGAAUUUGGUUGUUAGAGUUGUGCGAAGGUGGUUUCUGUCUGAUAUGAAUAUCAAACAUAAAUUUUAUGUGAUGGAAAUGAUAUUGAUCGAUAACAAGGUUUAAUUCUUUCUUUUAUAAAUUCAAAGUUUUAAGUUAUACAAACUUAUUUGUUAUGUUAUUAAUUUAACAAAUUUGUGUUUCAUAUUUUUUAAGGUGAUAAAAUUAAAGCAACGGUGCGAAAAACUCUUAUAUCUCGAUUUGAGACUAAUACUCGUGAGGGAGCUAUGGUACAAUUGUCCGAGAAUUAGAGACCAAUUUGGUCACAGCUUCUCUGUACUCAUUCAUUUCAUUCCCAGAAAUUCAAAAUGUUGACAUGAAUUACUUGAUUUGGUAAAUUUAUUUUAAUUUGUCAUUGUUAUUUUAUUUUAGUUAUUCACAGUUUAGUCAUUAUUUUUUUAAUAGAUGUCAUGGAGGUUUUAGUUGGAGUGUGACAAUACAUAGUUUAUGAAAUGAAUGGUGUCAAUACAAAAUUUAAAGUUAUUGAGUUAAAGUCAGAUGAGUGAGCCUUUUUACAUUAUAUAAAUUUUUUUAGUAUUUAAUAACUUUCUCUAUUAUUUAUUAACUAAUUUUAUUUGCUAAAAGUGAAGACGUUUAAUGAUAAAAACCAACUACAAAAUGCAAUGAAUUGAACUAAGCUUUUAUUCAAUCCUGAAAUUCCUGAGUCAAUUUUUUUCAAACGCAAGUAAGGUUAAAAGAAAACUAGAAGUAGUACCAACUAACUUAUUCAAUUUUUUUAUUUAUUGAAAUACUAACUUUAUACUACCUCAUCAUCAGACACUCGAAUAACUUUGGUUCGCCAAUUCAACCAUUGACUCAUAAGAAGGAUACUUCUCAUUUGAGUUAAGAAGAAGAAUUUUUAAGUCUUUUCCAACGCAUGACUUUAGAGGAACUUAAGGAUUGUCAAAAUGAAAUUUUUACAGUUUCAAUGUCAUAUCUAUUAUAGUUCAUUUAGUUUUGUUAAUCAUGUUUGUUAUUUAUAAUUUUUACUUCUUUUGUAGGAUAUGGUUUGUGUUGUCUUUGAUACAGUUAAACAUAUUCUUGUUGAAUGUCAUUGGUAGUAUGGAGCAUGUGUAUGCAACAAAGGAGUUGUUAUUGAAUCUAAAAGGUUCUUUUUGUCUAAAAUGUAAGAAAUAUGUAUGGACAAUUGUGCCACGGUGCGUUUAACAAAUAAAAUUCAUUUAUGUUAAUUUAUCAAUUCCUUAGACUAUUAUUGAUGUUAAUAAAUUUCAUUAUCUAAUUUUGGUAAAAGGUAUCGUAUCAAGGUUAGAGUUGUCGAUGAUACUGAUUAUGAUACCUUUGUCAUAUUUGAUCAUGACGAAAUUUCGUUGACAAACAAAUCAUGUCUAAAUUUGCUUCAUGAAAAGGAUCAAAUCAGUAUAUUUCCUAAAUUUUAUUUUAUCUUCAAUCUUUAUUUAUUAUUGAUGUGGUCUGGUUAUGUUUAUUUCGAUGAUCUAGAUUAAUAUUUUUAACAACAAUGUGAAUAUUAGGAUCCACAGUCUGACAGCGUGCCAAAAGAAAUUGGAGAUUCGGUUGAAAAACAGUUUCUAUUUAAGAUAGAGGCAAAAAAUGAUGUGAACUCAAAUUUUGAAAAUCAUUUCGAGUCAAAAAUAUUUGUGGUGACUUGAAUAUUAUAAAAAAUUUCAGAUAUGUUGCUCUUGAAAAGGUUUCUAUUCUUUUAACUUUUGUAAAUUAUUUUACUUAUCUAAAUCAAUAUGUAUUACUUUCUAAUUUUUGUAAUUCGUGACUAAGGUUGAUGUUGGUCUUGAUAACGACGUAGAAGGUAGUGUAACGAAUGAUUUGAUGAAUAAGUUUGAAGAAGAAGCUACUGAUGAGAAAUAUCAAGUCCCAAACCCUGUAUGUGUACUCGUACUAGUUGAACAUGAUUCUGAUGAUUGUACCUCUCUUAAAAGGGGGUUCAUGAAAGUCGCUGACGACAAUGAUGGAGUCAAUUCAAAAAAUGUGAAAAAUAUCAAAAUUGAGAAGGAGCGAGAAUAAACAUAAUACUUUAUUUUAUUUUAUUUUGAAUUAAGCUAUGGUAGCCUUUGUUUUGGCGGAAAUUUGUUAGUUUUGCGAUGUUAGAUUCAUACAUUAAAUUUCUAUCAAUUUUCAUUCAUGAACGUUUGAUGUUAUGUUUGCAUAAAAUUUAUUUAGGAAUUAAAAUAAAAAGUGUCUUUAUUUUGUUAUACAUUUUUUAUUGUUUAUUUUUCUAAAUUUUGCCUUAAAAAUUGUACGUAUUUGAUAUCUCUACGCGUAUAUUCCAAUAUUUAUUUGUAAGGUUUUGUAAUACUAACUCCAAUUCUAAAUUCUCUACUAAAUAAUUGAUGCCACAAAUUGAGCUUUUACCCAUGAAGGCAAACAACUCAGCUUUUAAGUAGAAAAAUAUCCAAUUCAUCCAAACAAAAAAAAAAUCAUAAUAUAGAAUUUAUUCUGUAAUUAAAAAAAAUACAGUUCAUUACCUCACUAACAGUUUUUUUAAUAAUGAUUUUUCAAAUGUCAACAGAUCCAUUACAUCACGAUUUGACAGUUUGUAAGCUCUAGCAACUACUACUUCAAAUUAUUGACUAAUAUUACAUAAAUUUAAUUAAAAAAAUUAUUUUAUUUCACAAAUUAUUUUUAUAUUUAUUUUUAUAAGCAAUUUUUGAUAAUAAAAUUCAAACUAUAUCUUUAAUAUCAAUGUCAAUAAAAUUAUAUUAUUAAUUUAAAUUAUUAUAUUAUAUAAAUUAAUAUAACAAUAUAUUUUGAAAAUAGUAAUUUAUAUAUUUGCGACGCAGGAUAACACACUAAUUUAAUUAACCCUAAUCUUUAGGACAAUAGUCGAGGCCAUAUCCAUAACCAUCAUCAGGAAUAAUAAUAUCCUUAGGUUUGAAGUCAAAUCUGAUAGGAGGGUUCUUAUAGUCCUCUAUGGUCACAUACUCUGCUAUCCAACUAUCAUCAUCAAACUUUGGUACCGAACUAUGGGGCCCACUUCUAGAUAUCAACACUUUGCAGAUUUUGUCGCGACAAGGUCCCUCUAAGCCCAAUUCAACUGUCACGCAAGCCUCUAACCUCUUAUUCUGAGGACCACCCAGAUUCUCAACAUCAAUC